This is a long non-coding RNA of Bos taurus (domestic cattle), 782 nucleotides long. Lineage: Eukaryota; Metazoa; Chordata; Mammalia; Artiodactyla; Bovidae. The record is from Ensembl.
UCAUUCCCCAUGGGGAUGGGAAACAGGGGGAUCUUCUGGGGUCUUCCCUUAGAGCCAGUCCCUGUCGCCAGGUAGAACUCCUGCCCCUAGGGAGGGUGGCAGAAAUCAGAGAAGAAAGGGAUGAGGGCUUGGUCCAGGCUGGGGGCACCAGGAAUUGGGAAGAAGGCGGGAGCCUAUUUUGGAGGGUCUGGGUUGGGAGGAGGGGAGUGGGGAAGGCCUUCCGAACACCUUAAGUAAUCUUCAUAGUUGACUGAAAGAUUAAAAACAGGGGAAGAACUGGUUUUGGCAUAUUGAACUUCUAGGGACUCAGCCAGAAACUUGUUCUGACCAGCUGUUGGUUGGUCCUGGCCUUGGCCCUGGGUCUGGAGGGCUGGCAGUGGCUUUAGGCCUGGGAUCACUGUUCCCUAAACUUCUCUGGGACCCUCCAGUGUGAUGGUCUUGCAGGCUGCUGACAAGGGGAGUUCAGCUGGUGGGUUGAGCAGGGCGGCAUCCAGGUGGAAGGCUUUUAAACCAGGUGGUAGAUGAGUGUCGAGGGGGUCACAAAUGGGAGAAGGUGGUUCUGGAACAGUGGAGAACGGGGGCAGGGAGCUGGGGCAGGAAUACUCUGUCCCCGAGCUGUGCCCAGGAUCCAGGGUGGGAAACACACAAGGAAAAGCUGCCCUUGCGCCUUUGGCCACAGGAGGGUUCUUUACCACCAGUGCCACCUGGGAAGCAGGUUUGAUCCCUGGAUCAAGAAGAUCUCCUGGAAUAGGAAAUGGAAACACACUUCAGUACUCUUGCCU